Molecule: ribosomal RNA, 258 nt
Filed under: uncultured bacterium
Lineage: Bacteria
Description: partial 16S ribosomal RNA
Rfam family: Bacterial small subunit ribosomal RNA
Source: RNAcentral
GAGUGAAGCGAGACNGUGAAGUGGAGCAAAUCGCGAAAAGCCGUCUCAGUUCGGAUCGCAGGCUGCAACCCGCCUGCGUGAAGUUGGAAUUGCUAGUAAUCGCGGAUCAGCAAGCCGCGGUGAAUACGUUCCCGGGCCUUGUACACACCGCCCGUCACACCAUGAGAGUCGGGAACACCCGAAGUCCGUAGUCUAACCGCAAGGAGGGCGCGGCCGAAGGUGGGUUCGAUAAUUGGGGUGAAGUCGUAACAAGGUACC